Sycon ciliatum is the source of this 242-nucleotide long non-coding RNA. RefSeq lists it as uncharacterized. The record is from RefSeq and is a predicted model, not a curated record. NCBI's taxonomy places the organism in Eukaryota, Metazoa, Porifera, Calcarea, Leucosolenida, Sycettidae. The transcript is spliced from 3 exons.
UACCCCGGGUAGCUAUACUUGCACCUGUGACAUUGGCUACACAGGAAAUGGAUCAUAUUGUCAAGAUAUAGAUGAGUGUAAAACGACUGGCAAGAUCUGUACUCAGAACGCAAGUUGUGUCAACACACUGGGAAGUUAUGUAUGCACAUGUGACACUGGAUAUACUGGUAAUGAAUCUCACUGUCAAGAAGUUGACUGUGGACCACCUCCAAGUAAUGUCACAGCUGGUACGCUCUCAAUCC